Molecule: long non-coding RNA, 99 nt
Filed under: Chrysolophus pictus (golden pheasant)
Lineage: Eukaryota; Metazoa; Chordata; Aves; Galliformes; Phasianidae
Description: lncRNA (ENSCPIG00010014862.1)
Source: RNAcentral
GUCCUCUGAUCCCAUCCUGACGUAACACGCUAACGUGAGUGAUUUCUUCAGUGCUGCCAUUCCACUGGAGAUUGCAGUACAAUCUCCUUCCAUGCUAGU